RNAcentral lists this ribosomal RNA (465 nucleotides) under Vreelandella stevensii. RNAcentral describes it as "partial 16S ribosomal RNA". It matches the Rfam family "Bacterial small subunit ribosomal RNA", at positions 338 to 795 of the family's 1533-position model. Lineage: Bacteria; Pseudomonadati; Pseudomonadota; Gammaproteobacteria; Oceanospirillales; Halomonadaceae. The record is from RNAcentral.
CCUACGGGCGGCAGCAGUGGGGAAUAUUGGACAAUGGGGGCAACCCUGAUCCAGCCAUGCCGCGUGUGUGAAGAAGGCCCUCGGGUUGUAAAGCACUUUCAGUGAGGAAGAACGCCUGGUGGUUAAUACCCAUCAGGAAAGACAUCACUCACAGAAGAAGCACCGGCUAACUCCGUGCCAGCAGCCGCGGUAAUACGGAGGGUGCGAGCGUUAAUCGGAAUUACUGGGCGUAAAGCGCGCGUAGGUGGCUUGAUAAGCCGGUCGUGAAAGCCCCGGGCUCAACCUGGGAACGGCAUCCGGAACUGUCAAGCUAGAGUGCAGGAGAGGAAGGUAGAAUUCCCGGUGUAGCGGUGAAAUGCGUAGAGAUCGGGAGGAAUACCAGUGGCGAAGGCGGCCUUCUGGACUGACACUGACACUGAGGUGCGAAAGCGUGGGUAGCAAACAGGAUUAGAUACCCGUGUAGUC